GGGGGGGGGCCUACCAUGCAGUCGAACGGCAGCACAGAAGAGCUUGCUCUUUGGGUGGCGAGUGGCGGACGGGUGAGUAAUGUCUGGGAAACUGCCCGAUGGAGGGGGAUAACUACUGGAAACGGUAGCUAAUACCGCAUAACGUCGCAAGACCAAAGUGGGGGACCUUCGGGCCUCACACCAUCGGAUGUGCCCAGAUGGGAUUAGCUAGUAGGUGGGGUAAUGGCUCACCUAGGCGACGAUCCCUAGCUGGUCUGAGAGGAUGACCAGCCACACUGGAACUGAGACACGGUCCAGACUCCUACGGGAGGCAGCAGUGGGGAAUAUUGCACAAUGGGCGCAAGCCUGAUGCAGCCAUGCCGCGUGUAUGAAGAAGGCCUUCGGGUUGUAAAGUACUUUCAGCGGGGAGGAAGGCGGUGAGGUUAAUAACCUCGCCGAUUGACGUUACCCGCAGAAGAAGCACCGGCUAACUCCGUGCCAGCAGCCGCGGUAAUACGGAGGGUGCAAGCGUUAAUCGGAAUUACUGGGCGUAAAGCGCACGCAGGCGGUCUGUUAAGUCAGAUGUGAAAUCCCCGGGCUUAACCUGGGAACUGCAUUUGAAACUGGCAGGCUUGAGUCUCGUAGAGGGGGGUAGAAUUCCAGGUGUAGCGGUGAAAUGCGUAGAGAUCUGGAGGAAUACCGGUGGCGAAGGCGGCCCCCUGGACGAAGACUGACGCUCAGGUGCGAAAGCGUGGGGAGCAAACAGGAUUAG
RNAcentral lists this ribosomal RNA (751 nucleotides) under Pantoea dispersa. Its description in RNAcentral is "bacterial SSU rRNA". It matches the Rfam family "Bacterial small subunit ribosomal RNA", at positions 38 to 781 of the family's 1533-position model. Lineage: Bacteria; Pseudomonadati; Pseudomonadota; Gammaproteobacteria; Enterobacterales; Erwiniaceae. The record is from RNAcentral.